Molecule: ribosomal RNA, 253 nt
Filed under: uncultured bacterium
Lineage: Bacteria
Description: partial 16S ribosomal RNA
Rfam family: Bacterial small subunit ribosomal RNA
Source: RNAcentral
UACGUAUGGUGCAAGCGUUAUCCGGAUUUACUGGGUGUAAAGGGAGCGUAGGCGGCGCGUUAAGUCUGAUGUGAAAACCCGAGGCUCAACCACGGGAGUGCAUUGGAAACUGGCGGGCUGGAGUGCCGGAGAGGUAAGCGGAAUUCCUAGUGUAGCGGCGAAAUGCGUAGAUAUUAGGAGGAACACCAGUGGCGAAGGCGGCUUACUGGACGGCAACUGACGCUGAGGCUCGAAAGCGUGGGGAGCAAACAGG